Mytilus trossulus (common blue mussel) is the source of this 501-nucleotide long non-coding RNA. RefSeq lists it as uncharacterized. The record is from RefSeq and is a predicted model, not a curated record. The transcript has 3 exons. NCBI's taxonomy places the organism in Eukaryota, Metazoa, Mollusca, Bivalvia, Mytilida, Mytilidae.
CAUUAUCAAUGUCCAUGACUGCAUGAGCAAGCAAUGAAGCAUGACAUAACUUGAUAACUUCUAAGGACAUUUUUGUAUGUGUGGCUUUUCACUUGACUGUCUUUUGACUGUGUGGCACAGUGUCCUGUUUAUUGGAAUAAAUCAGAGAAAACAGUGUUCAUGGUGUAUGUACCCUCUAUCCACUGUGAAAAGGGAGAGCAAUAACAGGAGUAUCCAGGCAUGACCAAAACAGAAAGAUCCAUAGAUCAUGAAGUAAUAGAACAUGUAUUUCUAACCAGUGUUACCCACAGUCUACCAAGAAAACUAGUACUGAAUAAGGUUUUACACACACACAAUGGUGGUUCAUGUGAGAGGAAAAAGUGAUUUGUUCGCGAAAGUUCUUGCUUGUCUUUAUCUACAAAUGAUGUUAAUUUUACAGUACACAGAACAUUGAGGGAUUGAUUGAACAAAGCUAUAUGUAGAAAAUAUAUCAAAAUAUUAACUUUAUAAAUGAAUAAUAAA